RNAcentral lists this ribosomal RNA (408 nucleotides) under Triticum aestivum (bread wheat). Its description in RNAcentral is "partial small subunit ribosomal RNA". The record is from RNAcentral. Lineage: Eukaryota; Viridiplantae; Streptophyta; Magnoliopsida; Poales; Poaceae.
GUCGUGGUUAGGGAGAUUGUGCGCGAGACCGCAAUCAGCGGUAGCAUACCCAUCACCUUCCCGAUGCUCACGCGCUCGAACUACAGCGAGUGGGCGUUGAUCAUGGAGUGCAACCUCCAUGCAGCGAGCCUCUGGGUUCCCAUGGAGGACGACCUGGUCGAGAGAAAGGAGGACAGGAAAGCCGUGGCGGCACUCAUGUGUGCCACGCCGCCGGAGAUGCACGGCAUGCUCGUGGCGAAGGCAAGUGCCAAGGAGGCGUGGGAAGCCAUCCGUACCCAGCGCCUCGGCAGCAACCGCGUGCGCGAGGCGAACGCGCAGAAGCUGCGGAUGGACUUCGAGAACAUCACCUUCAAGGAGGGCGAGCUCGUCGAUGACUUCGCCAUGCGGAUCACCAGCCUUGCGUCAUAG